RNAcentral lists this ribosomal RNA (108 nucleotides) under Sinocyclocheilus anshuiensis. Lineage: Eukaryota; Metazoa; Chordata; Actinopteri; Cypriniformes; Cyprinidae. The record is from RNAcentral.
GCUUACGGCCAUACCGCCCGAUCUCGUCUGAUCUCGGAAGCUAAGCAAGGUCUUGCCUGGUUAGUACUUGGAUGGGAGACCGCCUGGGAAUACCAGGUGCUGUAAGCU